AAAGGAGAACAUUUGGAAAGAUCUUUCCAAACGAUACCAGGACGCUGAUAUCAAGAGCUUCCUGGAGGAGGCCACCAUCUUGGACCCCCGAUUUAAAUCCAAAGUGGAUAAGGAUGAAGUCUGGCACAGGAUCAGGGAAGCAGCAAUUGCAGCAAAGACAGAGGCAGGAGCAGAUGAGCACCUGGAGCCAGGACACACACAGGGAGAGUUGUUCGAAGAUGAGGAUGAAGAAGACUAUGUAAGUUUAGUUCAUUGUGAUGAUAAUUUAAAUGUCAUGGAUUGUCUAUUUUUUGCUAAAUUUUUUAUCAUGUCCAUUUAAUUUCAGGUGCC
Oreochromis aureus is the source of this 330-nucleotide long non-coding RNA. The record is from Ensembl. NCBI's taxonomy places the organism in Eukaryota, Metazoa, Chordata, Actinopteri, Cichliformes, Cichlidae.